CAGCCGCCACGGGAAUACGGAGGGUGCAAGCGUUAAUCGGAAUUACUGGGCGUAAAGCGCACGCAGGCGGUCUGACAAGUCAGAUGUGAAAUCCCCGGGCUUAACCUGGGAACUGCAUUUGAAACUGUCAGGCUGGAGUCUUGUAGAGGGGGGUGGAAUUCCAGGUGUAGCGGUGAAAUGCGUAGAGAUCUGGAGGAAUACCGGUGGCGAAGGCGGCCCCCUGGACAAAGACUGACGCUCAGGUGCGAAAGCGUGGGGAGCAAACAGGAUUAGAGACCCCGGUAGUCCCUGUCUCUUAUAC
Molecule: ribosomal RNA, 301 nt
Filed under: uncultured bacterium
Lineage: Bacteria
Description: partial 16S ribosomal RNA
Rfam family: Bacterial small subunit ribosomal RNA
Source: RNAcentral